Molecule: RNase P RNA, 405 nt
Filed under: Verrucomicrobiota bacterium
Lineage: Bacteria; Pseudomonadati; Verrucomicrobiota
Description: Verrucomicrobia bacterium RNase P RNA component class A
Rfam family: Bacterial RNase P class A
About the family: Ribonuclease P (RNase P) is a ubiquitous endoribonuclease, found in archaea, bacteria and eukarya as well as chloroplasts and mitochondria. Its best characterised activity is the generation of mature 5'-ends of tRNAs by cleaving the 5'-leader elements of precursor-tRNAs.
Source: RNAcentral
GAUGGCAGAUGAUCGCUGGUGAAUCGCAAGGUUCGCUGGAGGAAAGUCCGAACACCAUACGGCAGCAUGCCACGUAAAAUACGUGGGCGCCGCAGUUGAAAAAUUGCGGUGACGGAAAGUGUCACAGAAAAGACACCGCCGGUUCUUUGAAAGAAGCGCAGGCAAGGGUGAAAAGGCGAGGUAAGAGCUCACCGCUCGCGGAGUAAUGCGCGAGGCACGAAAAACCCCAUGCGGUGCAAGACAAAACAGAGGGAGGACAGCCGGUCCGUUUGAUCCUCGGGUAUCGUCGCAUCACGGCGAAUGAAAAUUCGCUGGGCGUCCCGCCACUUGUGAGUGGCGGAAUGAGAUAAAUGAUCAUCCGCGUGAGUAAUCACGCCGACAGAAUUCGGCUUACCGCCAUCUAAA